Molecule: long non-coding RNA, 377 nt
Filed under: Struthio camelus australis
Lineage: Eukaryota; Metazoa; Chordata; Aves; Struthioniformes; Struthionidae
Description: lncRNA (ENSSCUG00000016096.1)
Source: RNAcentral
AGGCUGGAUCUGAACUUUUGAAGACCAGCUGGUACAGCAUGACAUCAAUGAGUUUGGAGUGUCCAGCUCCUUCCUGCGUGCUGCGUUCUCUUUCCAGCUCCAUUAGCCUUCCAAUGCUGUUGAACAAGUCACAGCUUCAGUGGGAGAACUAAAUAUGAAGUCUGAAUCACAGCCUUCUGGUCUGGGCACUUCCCAGGGUGAUGGAAAAAGCAAAGAAGGAUCCUGCNNNNNNNNNNNNGACUUUUUUUCAAGUCUCCAGAAAAGGUGGCACAGUCAUCAAGGAAGUAUCUUCGUUUCUUAGUGUCUUCUGCUUUUGCUCUGUGGCCGUACCUUCAUUUCAAAGUGCACUUAUAAAGCGAUAUCUGAAACGUCAGUGA